This 468-nucleotide ribosomal RNA is filed under the name uncultured bacterium. RNAcentral describes it as "bacterial SSU rRNA". It matches the Rfam family "Bacterial small subunit ribosomal RNA", at positions 355 to 825 of the family's 1533-position model. The record is from RNAcentral.
UGAGGAAUAUUGGACAAUGGGCGCAAGCCUGAUCCAGCCAUGCCGCGUGCAGGAUGACGGUCCUAUGGAUUGUAAACUGCUUUUGUACAGGAAGAAACAGUUCUACGUGUAGAACCUUGACGGUACUGUAAGAAUAAGGAUCGGCUAACUCCGUGCCAGCAGCCGCGGUAAUACGGAGGAUCCAAGCGUUAUCCGGGAAUCAUUGGGUUUAAAGGGUCCGUAGGCGGUUAGAUAAGUCAGUGGUGAAAGCCCAUCGCUCAACGGUGGAACGGCCAUUGAUACUGUCUGACUUGAAUUAUUAGGAAGUAACUAGAAUAUGUAGUGUAGCGGUGAAAUGCUUAGAGAUUACAUGGAAUACCAAUUGCGAAGGCAGGUUACUACUAAUGGAUUGACGCUGAUGGACGAAAGCGUGGGUAGCGAACAGGAUUAGAUACCCUUGUAGUCCCUGAGCGGGCUGGCAAGGCGCAU